Paramuricea clavata is the source of this 230-nucleotide non-coding RNA. NCBI's taxonomy places the organism in Eukaryota, Metazoa, Cnidaria, Anthozoa, Malacalcyonacea, Plexauridae. The record is from the annotation of a GenBank genome assembly.
UCUGGCAAUAGCAUAGCAAAAUGGCAGAAGAAAAGAAGGGAGAUAGUAGCGGUAGUUCCUCAGCUUUAAAAAAUUUCCUGGCUGGUGGAGUUGGUGGAGUAUGUCUUGUAGCUGCAGGCCAUCCUUUGGACACUAUCAAGGUUCGUUUCCAUUGGAGAAUCACGAGAAUAUUCGCAUAUUUGUUUUGACAUAUUUUCAAUAUGCGGGCCAUUGUUGACGUAAAUAAAUCC